UACGUAGGGGCAAGCGUUAUCCGGAUUUACUGGGUGUAAAGGGAGCGCAGACGGCAGUGCAAGUCUGAUGUGAAAGCCCGGGGCUCAACCCCGGAACUGCAUUGGAAACUGUACAGCUUGAGUGUCGGAGAGGUAAGCGGAAUUCCUAGUGUAGCGGUGAAAUGCGUAGAUAUUAGGAGGAACACCGGUGGCGAAGGCGGCUUACUGGACGAUGACUGACGUCGAGGCUCGAAAGCGUGGGGAGCAAACAGGAUUAGAUACCCUGGUAGU
RNAcentral lists this ribosomal RNA (270 nucleotides) under uncultured prokaryote. Its description in RNAcentral is "partial 16S ribosomal RNA". It matches the Rfam family "Bacterial small subunit ribosomal RNA", at positions 524 to 794 of the family's 1533-position model. The record is from RNAcentral.